This 443-nucleotide ribosomal RNA is filed under the name uncultured bacterium. Its description in RNAcentral is "SSU rRNA". It matches the Rfam family "Bacterial small subunit ribosomal RNA", at positions 26 to 518 of the family's 1533-position model. The record is from RNAcentral.
AGAACGAACGCUGGCGGCAGGCUUAACACAUGCAAGUCGAGCGCCCCGCAAGGGGAGCGGCAGACGGGUGAGUAACGCGUGGGAACAUACCCUCCGGUACGGAAUAACUCAGGGAAACUUGAGCUAAUACCGUAUACGGCUUAGCGGCGAAAGAUUUAUCGCCGGAGGAUUGGCCCGCGUUCGAUUAGCUAGUUGGUGCGGUAAUGGCGCACCAAGGCGACGAUCGAUAGCUGGUCUGAGAGGAUGAUCAGCCACAUUGGGACUGAGACACGGCCCAGACUCCUACGGGAGGCAGCAGUGGGGAAUAUUGGACAAUGGGCGCAAGCCUGAUCCAGCCAUGCCGCGUGGAUGAUGAAGGCCCUAGGGUUGUAAAGUCCUUUCGGCGGGGAAGAUAAUGACGGUACCGCAGAAGAAGCCCCGGCUAACUUCGUGCCAGCAGCCGC